Molecule: small RNA, 3571 nt
Filed under: Pongo abelii (Sumatran orangutan)
Lineage: Eukaryota; Metazoa; Chordata; Mammalia; Primates; Hominidae
Description: processed transcript
Source: RNAcentral
GUCAAAGGUUUUCAAAACCUGAGGUUCAUAGAGACUCAAAAUUGUAGCACCUUUAAUCAGUACAGGUUUGACUUUCAGGUAGAGAUGGGAAGUUUUCUCAGGUGAGAGAUAAGCCAAUAAGAGCAGCAACUUAAACCACAGAUACGCAAAGAGAAAUUAGAAGAAAGAAACAGCCAAUCAAAGGGACUGGAAAAAAUAGAGGAUUACAUGCUGAAAAGACACAAAUUUAGAUAAAAACAAAAUAUAAAAAAAUGGCAGCAGGAAGGAGACUAGAAAAGAUAGUAAAGAUAAUUUGACACAUACAAUGAGACAAAGAGAGAAAAAGCCACAGACAUAGGAACAGAAAGAAAAUAUGACUUUACCUAUAGUGAAGAAAAGUUUAGUCAGAGAAAGACAAAAUGGAACUGUGGAUCAUUUGAGAAAUGGGCUACUGAUUGCAAAUUAACUAGGCAUAUUGAUUCAAUUGCCUUAUGUUUAAAUUUCAGAUCAGAGACUAAGGGUCCAGAAGGAGGGUUGAGGGAAUUGCUGAGAUGUUGCUACAGAGAGAUGUUGCUGAAAUCUAUGAGGCCCAGACUCUAAGGGCAAGGAAUUGCCUCGGCUGGAGAAAUGAGCCUUGCCUGGGGUCAUCCACUGACCCAUUAAAUGACUAAGGUAGAAAUUUGGAAAGGUCUGGCCCCUUCAGCCCAGUGAAGAAAACAUUCACUGGGCAAUUUUAUAUCCAGGACUCCCUGUGAUGUUGGACAAGGCUACCUUCAGGCCUGAUUCACAGCUCAACUUUUCCUUCUGCCCAAUCCUACCCACUUUCAUUCCUUUUCAUUUUUAAGAUGAUUAUCCCAGGGACUCUCUUAUUAAACAAACUGCACACUAAAUUUUACCUCAAAGUCUGCUUCCCAGAGAACCCUGAAAUGAGAAGUUCUCAGAAAACCUGUGACAUGAAAGUGUUAGGGGUGGCUAAUAUCCAAGUCUCAUGACAUCAAAUAUAGUACCGGUGGAAGGUAUUCAAGUUACCAGUGGCAAAUCCAUAUGGGUCUGCAGCAACCUCAAUUUUUGCCUCCUCAGAAGAAAGAAAUUGACUGAGGGGCGUAAGGCAGAGAAAGAGAUCAAGGCAAGUUUCGAGCAGGAGUGGAAGUUUAUUUAAAAAUGCUUUAGAAGAGGAAAAAAGGAAAGUAUGCUUGGAAGAGACCCAAGUGGGUAAAUUGAAGGACAAGUGCUGUGUUUAACCUUAUUCCUAGGACUUUAUAGUCUGGCCCCUUUCCCGUGAUCCUUCCCUUAGAGUGGGCUACCCACAUGCACAGUGCCCUCCUUACCCUUAGGAAGUGAGCAUGCACAGUGUGUUUAGGAAGUCGUAUGCGUGCCCAUCUGAGGCUUUCUUCCCUUUCUCGGUGGUGUGCCCUCAGAAGGUCAUACUCCUUCAUUUUGUCUCUUAAUGCACAUGUCUAGAAAGUUACUUUCUUUUGGCAUCUGCAUUCUAUUAGCAGUUUAGUGCAACAGGUGUGGACCAUCAGGAAAUGGCGUCUCCCUGGCACAGGCUGCCAAUUUAUCACUUUUAGAGAGGCAAUGUGAUAAUUGCCCAACCAUUGCCUAACAUUCCUAGUGUGUGAGCUAGAGCCCUUUCCUGCCCCACUCAUGCCUAACUACCUGUAACAUAAGAAAGAUAACAUUCUCAAGGAUACCUUUUUUUCAGGCAGAUGAAACAGGAUAAGAAUUCAAGAGCAAAUAUCCAUGGUUUUUAAAUCUCUUAAGUUUCAAGCAGAAGAUCAAACACAGUGUGUAAGCCUGGAGAACUAAAAAUAACCUGUAAUUCAAGUUGACAUUGUGAGAUGUAUGUAUACAACCAUCUUCUACAAUCUAUGUACUUUCUUAAUAGUAUGUCUGAUGACUAGAAAUGUUCUUAAUUUUAAUUAAGUCCAAUUUAUAAAUUUGCUUUUAUGUUUAGUGCUUUUAUGUAUUUUUAAGGAGAUAUUUGCCUAUUCUGUCAUUCAGGAUCCAGUCAGAAGACAAAAAUCACACAGUAAUUUGAAUAGAGUUUAUAAAUAUAAAUACUUAUUAAUUUUGUAAGGAAAUCAACUUUAAAGAAGGUAAAGACAAUGAUGAGUAAUAUCCUAGAGCUAAGAGAGAUUAUUGAAAGAGAAAACAAACUUGGAAAAUGGGGAAGGUACUCCCCAAGCCCAAGGUUGAAACUUCAUUUGAGAGUGCAUAGUCUUAGCAUCCAGGAGGAUGCCAGAAAAGGUCAUUACAUUGCAUGUGUUAAGAAAGACACCUCUGUGGGGAAUAGGUGAACCAAGGAUGAGAGACUAAGAUUCCUUUUCGGGACUGAGUAGUAGGAAGCACCAGGUGAGCUGAGGCUUGUAGGCAGGGAACUAUAGUUGGCAUUGGCAAGCAGAUGAUAACCCCCUUUGAAGUACAGGUGGGCAGCAAAUCACAGUUUGGACUGACAAGCUGGAAACACCCCUCCAGGGUCCAAAUAGGUUAUUUGGGAAGCCGGUCCCUAGAGUAACUGCAAGACUCAGUAAGAGUCUAGUCAUAUGGGUAUUGUUGAAAUUUGAUAGGAUGAGUAUUACUAAAUAUUUCUCAUUACAUGCCUCUGAUUUUUGCACUGUAGAAGUGAGAAUAAUCAAAGAGAAGUACACAAGAACUUCUCCUACAAGUGUCCCUGCAGCACCCUCUGCUGGCCAAGUUUAACAUCAUGAAUCUGUGAAGGAAAAAAUGUCCAUUGAGCCCAGUUCCAUUGAUGCAGAGUAAGCAAUGAAGUCUAUAUUUGAAACUGGGACAAUAAAUAAAUAACUGACACAUUUACUGAUAUUAUCAAUGAUGUUCUUCUGUGUAAUUUUUGAAAAUUGUAAGGCUUUCCUUUUGAUAUUUCUAAAUACAACACAUGUAGAAUUUAUUUUUAUGAAUGAUGAGGUAAGGUCAAGGCAUAUUUUUUGAUAUGAAUACAUAGUUCAGUCAGAACUGUGUAAAAGAAAAUAAAAAUUGAAGGACCCCCCAAACUUGUGCAGAAGUGAAGACUAAGUCCUGAAGCUGAAUCAUUGCAACACUCUCUUCCACAUGAAUAACUGUUACUAACAUUAUAUAUCAGCUAGAUUGGAAAGGUAAAUGGCCUCAGGCAUCUGGGAAGGGCUGCCCACGGAUCAUUCGUAAGUAAAUUCUUUGCUUGCCUCCCAUAAACAAGGACACGCUAGUUGUAAAUUUAGGUCCACAAUCCAAGUCUAGCUCCUAAAACUCCACACCGAUUAUGUCACUUACAAGUUUAUCUUCCCAGGUGCAGAAAAGAGUCAAGAUUCAUUUUCUUCACCUACCCAGAGACGACUACAUAAUUGAGUCUUCCUUUACUCCCUUUCUUGCUUCAGACAUUCACCUUAUCUUACAUAAAAUGUAGAUUUACUGAACACUAACUGAAGUCUCAGGAAUGUAAAUAUUUCCCCUACUGCUCAACCUACAUGCCUCCCCUUUCCCCCUUUUAAGGAAAUGGAUAAAUACACAACUUCCUGAAAACUUUUGUGGAAAUAGGCACAGAUGUGUUGGUGGCUUUUGUUUUUCCCAGAAAUGCCCUAAACCUGGCUUAAUAAAC